Lonchura striata (white-rumped munia) is the source of this 1708-nucleotide non-coding RNA. Lineage: Eukaryota; Metazoa; Chordata; Aves; Passeriformes; Estrildidae. The record is from RefSeq and is a predicted model, not a curated record.
AGUUAUUUCAAAUUAUUUCUCCUCUUUCUGAAACAGACUAAAAAGAAGUACAAGAGAAACUAUGGAAAUUGCUUACAGGCCAGUACUCCUGGAGGGAAGUAUAGCACAAGGACUGCUGGACAAACAUCAUACCCUCAGCAACCUUGGACAUUGGCACCUUUUUACCACAGAGACCUAGUGUUUGUCUGAAGAAUGACGUCAUUCCUCCGUUUGUUUGGCUGCUGCAGUGACACUUUGGCCUUUACAUGGACAGGUUUAUGUUUUACUGAAGAUUAUUCAGAGCCACAUGUUGGGACCUGCCAUCUGCUGAAUUUGGAUACGAUGUCUGUAAAGCUGGUGUGAAAAUACAGAAAAUGAAACUCUGACUUUGGGAGAGAAACUACCCAUGCCUUUGUAACUGCAACUGUCUGUCACAGUUGAAAAAUUACAUUUUUAAUUUUGUGAAAUAUGUACCCUCUCUAUACAAAAGUAAGCCAAGGUUAAAUUCCACCACUCAGAGCUGCAAUUUACUUCAGGUCCAUGUUAAAAUACCUUUAUUUUGAUUGGAGAAGGGCCUGAGAAACCUGGUCUAAUAAGACCUGCUUUGAGUGCAAUUGGAUCAAAAUUGUAACAUCUGUGCCAACACAUGAACGUGGGAGUAUCCUUUGUCAAAUAUGGGUGAUGUGCACUUCUCUGACUUCUAAUUUCUACUAAAACAUGGAACGCCGAAAAGAGAAACAGGACUCAAUCUGCUUCUGGAAGAUUGGAAGGCAGCAGCAGGAGCCGUUUCUUGGGAUGCCCCAUUGGCAGGGUGGGCACUGUGCAAGUACCUGAGUAACUCUGAACAGCUCCCUGCAGGCUCAGCAAAGCAGCACUUCUGUUGUGAAGGUAUUUUGCUUUCUGCCAGGGGCAGUUGAAUGAACCACUCCAGCUGAGCUGUGAAUUACAGCUCCAGAAUGAGCAAGGAUCCUACACAACAACAGCACCUGAUCUAAUCUUUUCGUUGCCUAUGUGCUGAGGGAAAAUCAAGAUUGCCUGCCAGGAUGAUCUGGGUGUCAGUGGAGUGAGAGAGCUUCUUCAAUUCAUACACAUAUUCUCCAUUUAGCAUUAAGUGUUUCACUACAAGAGGAAGACAACUAGGGUAGGAACAUGACAAAACAAAAGUAAGUGAGAAUUUUUGUGCAGCAUAUAUAAGCAACUGAAACAUUUCUAUUCAAGUUCCUUCUGGUCAGGUGACAAUGGAAUUUCUUUACUACACUUGGGCAAAAUAGGAUCAGUGUCUCUCUCCCCAGAUGUGAGUCAUAAGUAUCCUAUUAUGCUACUUAGGAAAGAAGAACUAUCCAAUUCUAAUAACAAUAACAAUAACAAUAACAGAAAAAAAAAAAAAAAAGUAAUGCAACUUCUUUCAAUGGAAAAGCAAGAACUCACUGCAUUGGCUACAGCUCUAUGUGUGUUCAUUUUCUUUAGUCAGCUUGUCUGUCAAGAGAAAGACAUCCCAAAUAACAUAAACAGCAAUUGUUGGCUGGAUCAAGGAUGCUGUGGAGUGAUACGUUUCUGUGUGAUCUGAUCCACUGAGUGGAUAUCAUUAGGUAAAGUACCUGAUCUUAUCAAAUGCAGUUCCACUGUUGGCCCUAAUUGAUGUGAACCUUGCACAGCACCCUGCAGCACCACCCUUCAUUCCAGUUCAUGCCCACAGCAACAACGUAGACUACUUCACAAUACCUGAGAA